This 383-nucleotide ribosomal RNA is filed under the name uncultured soil bacterium. RNAcentral's name for it is "bacterial SSU rRNA". It matches the Rfam family "Bacterial small subunit ribosomal RNA", at positions 26 to 402 of the family's 1533-position model. The record is from RNAcentral.
AGGACGAACGCUGGCGGCGUGCUUAACACAUGCAAGUCGAACGAGGUUCAACCAGUCGCAAGACUGGUGAAGACCGAGUGGCGAACGGGUGCGUAACACGUGAGAAACCUGUCCCGGUCUCUGGAAUAACAGUCGGAAACGACUGCUAAUACCGGAUGCCGUCGGAGCGUCGCAUGGCGCGCUGACGAAAGGGCUACCGGAUCGGGAGGGUCUCGCGGCCUAUCAGCUUGUGGUGAGGUAACGGCUCACCAAGGCAUCGACGGGUAGCUGGUCUGAGAGGAUGAUCAGCCACACUGGGACUGAGACACGGCCCAGACUCCUACGGGAGCAGCAGUGGGGAAUCUUGCACAAGUGGGCGAAAGCCUGAUGCAGCAACGCCGCGU